RNAcentral lists this ribosomal RNA (1383 nucleotides) under uncultured bacterium. RNAcentral describes it as "bacterial SSU rRNA". It matches the Rfam family "Bacterial small subunit ribosomal RNA". The record is from RNAcentral.
GAAUUCGCCCUUAGAGUUUGAUCCUGGCUCAGGACGAACGCUGGCGGCGUGCCUAACACAUGCAAGUCGAGCGGGGAUCGGGAGCUUGCUUCCGAUUCUAGCGGCGGACGGGUGAGUAACGCGUGAGCAACCUGCCUCGAACUGGGGGAUAACGCAUCGAAAGAUGUGCUAAUACCGCGUAAGACCACGUGACCACAUGGUCAAGGGGUCAAAGGAGGAAUCCGGUUUGAGAUGGGCUCGCGUCCGAUUAGCUAGUUGGUGAGAUAAAAGCCCACCAAGGCGACGAUCGGUAGCCGACCUGAGAGGGUGAUCGGCCACAUUGGAACUGAGAUACGGUCCAGACUCCUACGGGAGGCAGCAGUGGGGAAUAUUGGGCAAUGGGCGAAAGCCUGACCCAGCAACGCCGCGUGAGGGAAGAAGGGUUUCGGCUCGUAAACCUCUGUCCUAUGGGACGAAGAAGAUGACGGUACCAUAGGAGGAAGCCCCGGCUAACUACGUGCCAGCAGCCGCGGUAAUACGUAGGGGGCGAGCGUUGUCCGGAAUGAUUGGGCGUAAAGGGCGCGUAGGCGGCCUGUUAAGUCUGGAGUGAAAGUCCUGCUUUCAAGGUGGGAAUUGCUUUGGAUACUGACGGGGCGGUGAGUGCAGGAGAGGAAAGCGGAAUUUCCGGGUGUAGCGGGGAAAAUGGGUAGAGAUCGGUAGGAACCCCCAGUGCGGAAGGCGGCUUUCUGGACUGAAACUGACGCUGAGGCGCGAAAGCGUGGGGAGCAAACAGGAUUAGAUACCCUGGUAGUCCACGCGGUAAACGAUGAGUGCUAGGUGUAGGAGGUAUCGACCCCUUCUGUGCCGCAGUAAACACAAUAAGCAUUCCACCUGGGGAGUACGGCCGCAAGGUUGAAACUCAAAGGAAUUGACGGGAGCCCGCACAAGCAGUGGAGUAUGUGGUUUAAUUCGACGCAACGCGAAGAACCUUACCAGAGCUUGACAUCCCUCUGAUCGGUCGAGUAAUGUUGACCUUUCCUUCGGGACAGAGGAGACAGGUGGUGCAUGGUUGUCGUCAGCUCGUGUCGUGAGAUGUUGGGUUAAGUCCCGCAACGAGCGCAACCCUUAUGUUUAGUUGCUACGCAAGAGCACUCUAGACAGACUGCCGUUGAUAAAACGGAGGAAGGUGGGGACGACGUCAAAUCAUCAUGCCCCUUACGCCCUGGGCUACACACGUACUACAAUGGCGAAAACAAAGGGAAGCGAUCACGCGAGUGGGAGCAAAACUCAUAAAAGUCGCCCCAGUUCGGACUGCAGGCUGCAACUCGCCUGCACGAAGUUGGAAUUGCUAGUAAUCGUGGAUCAGCAUGCCACGGUGAAUACGUUCCCGGGCUUUGCACUCAC